Molecule: unclassified non-coding RNA, 159 nt
Filed under: soil metagenome
Description: partial internal transcribed spacer 1
Source: RNAcentral
CAGAGCUGCAAGACUCCCUAAACCAUUGUGAACCUACCUUCUACCGUUGCUUCGGCGGGCGGGGCCCAGCGCCCCCCGGCCCCCCGCGGGCGCCCGCCGGAGGAUACCCAAACUCUUGACAUUAGUGGCCUCUCUGAGUAUUCUUUACUGAAUAAGUCA